UCUAAAUCUAAGUUAACACAAUAGGUUAGUUGACAAUAGGGCCGAAGGUAGCAGGUGGGCCCCAAGCACAGACACACUCCCCACACGAUUUGAAAUGUAAAAUAACACCUUGUGCUGGGGAGAAAUAGAACUGCGGGGAAAAUAGUUAGCAAUGAUGCUGUCCUUUAGCCUGGAGGAAAAUAAUAGCCACAGAGUGGCCCUCCAACUGGUCCUGGGGAAAGAUUGUAAUUAGCAACAUGCCUGCCCUUGCAGCUGAGCUGGAGAAAAAUAAUAGGUUAUGUAGCAGAACUUCAGAAUUGGAACAGAUUCAGCUUGUGCUACCCGAAGGUUGAGAGAUCUGACCGAGUUCUUCUUUGGAUUUGCCUCCUUGUCAAGACCGUCUCCUUCUUCGCUCGGUGCCCGAUUUAUCCUGUCUGGAGGACGAUGCGCAGCUGAUCCUCCUGCUUGCUGGGGUCCUGUCAAAUCACCUGAGAUCUGCGCAUUGCCAUCCUGCGCAGGGGGAAAAGCUUAAAAAAAAAAAAAGAAAACAUCUUUGAUCAAUGUGUUCUCCUUGCACCUAAGAAAUGGAUGGAAAACUGUGGACAACUCAAAGAUUCAUGGGAUGGCUUAUAACACGAAGAGAAAAAGCAGUUAAUAGGAUGAAGAGAAUUCCCUUCAACGGAGCAGGUGGAAUUAACAGCACUUACAGUACAUUAAUGCGAUUAUAUGAAAAACUAAUGGGGUCUGCUUUCAUCUGGAUGACUGGGAAGGGUAAAGAGAGGAAGAUCUGAAGGAAAGUUGCCAAAAAUGUUUUCG
Molecule: non-coding RNA, 795 nt
Organism: Lepisosteus oculatus (spotted gar)
Lineage: Eukaryota; Metazoa; Chordata; Actinopteri; Semionotiformes; Lepisosteidae
Source: RefSeq, a predicted model, not a curated record